Molecule: long non-coding RNA, 199 nt
Filed under: Gossypium barbadense (sea-island cotton)
Lineage: Eukaryota; Viridiplantae; Streptophyta; Magnoliopsida; Malvales; Malvaceae
Description: long non-coding RNA (GBAR_LNC000774)
Source: RNAcentral
GUAACGUCCCAAUUUUUGGGAAUUCUGUGAAUGUUGGCAUAGGUUUAAUUAUGUUAGUGGGCCUCUAGAAGGCCCAAGCUUAAGAUAGAACUCGACAAUUUUAGUUAAUUUUUGUUCCAUAAGAAAAAGGGGGUGAAAUUAUGAAAUAGGACCUAUGUGAAAAUGUUUGAAAAUGCUAUAGGCUAAAUUGAAGUGGCCA